Molecule: transfer RNA, 91 nt
Filed under: Chloroflexota bacterium
Lineage: Bacteria; Bacillati; Chloroflexota
Description: Chloroflexi bacterium tRNA-Ser
Rfam family: tRNA
About the family: Transfer RNA (tRNA) molecules are approximately 80 nucleotides in length.
Source: RNAcentral
GGAGAGGUGUCCGAGUGGUUGAAGGUGCCGAUCUCGAAAAUCGGUAGGGCUCAAAAGGCCCUCGUGGGUUCGAAUCCCACCCUCUCCGCCA